AAAGUCGUAACAAGGUUUCCGUAGGUGAACCUGCGGAAGGAUCAUUAUUAUUUGGGUCGGGUUUACUUCUAAGAUCUUUGUUCAGUCCUGUCCUAAAAUAUUUAAGAAGUAAACUUUUACCAAAUAAAUAUUCUAUAUUUCUCCUAUAAGGAGCAAGAUAAACAUAUUUAAAACCCACACUUUGAAUGCAUAUUUUUUGUAUUUUUCAAUGAUAAUAAAAGAUCACUUUCAACAACGGAUCUCUUGGCUCUC
This 252-nucleotide unclassified non-coding RNA is filed under the name Glomeromycotina sp. RNAcentral describes it as "partial contains small subunit ribosomal RNA, internal transcribed spacer 1, and 5.8S ribosomal RNA". The stretch from base 1 to 47 matches the Rfam family "Eukaryotic small subunit ribosomal RNA", at positions 1785 to 1831 of the family's 1831-position model. Lineage: Eukaryota; Fungi; Glomeromycota. The record is from RNAcentral.